Molecule: long non-coding RNA, 824 nt
Organism: Monodelphis domestica (gray short-tailed opossum)
Lineage: Eukaryota; Metazoa; Chordata; Mammalia; Didelphimorphia; Didelphidae
Source: RefSeq, a predicted model, not a curated record
GAAGCUCCCACGUGAAGAAUUACGCAAGCCUCAUUUCCCCCGCCCCAAGGACCCGCGGGAAUUGUAGUUUUUCCUUUCCGGAUUCAAUUACACUCCAUAAAGAUUUUAAGAGGGCUCUACCCUGAGUAAAAGGGGUAGGGUAGUGGAUGCUGGAAGUAAAACAAACACCUAUACCCCACAGUCAUUGGCUUAAAUAUUUGAGAUAUUCGUUUUAUCUUCGUCUUCUCAUGCAGAAUUGAACCCGAACUUAAGGGUAAAAUUUAUCAGAUACAGAGUAGCCUGACGGUUUUGAUACUUUUAAUUUUAUAGUGGAUAUGCCCAAUAUUGUCUUCGGACAACACAUUUAACUAUAUAAAAGGGUUUUUCACCCUACGAAUAUUUUUGAUAUGCAAAAAAUCCGUGCUCUGGGCGAGGAUGUUUCACCACUUGACCUGUAAAAUGAAAAAUAGGGAAGCCAAGAGAAACUAAUCUGGUAUACUUCUCUAAAAGGAAACCAUACAGAGCCUCCAUGGAAUCCUGUACAUCAAGGAAACCACGAGCAAUAAUGGCAGCAGGUUCCUAGCCUUAGCUUGUAGACUUCAGAGGUGGCAGAGCUAAUGGAGUUUCAAAACCAAACAGAAUUCUAAGAAAAAAUAACAAGCUGGAGAUGAGCAGCAAGGGAAGCCAGACCCAUCAUGUGGACGAACCAACUCGGGAUCCUUAAUGAGCCAGUAUGGAAGUUGGAAGAACCCAACAUCAGGAAUCGGAGGACAAAAACCACUUGUUUGCUGCUGAUCAGUUCUAAGUGAUAACAUGAUUAAAAUUAAAAUUAGUUGAUCCUCCAA